AUUGAACGCUGGCGGCAGGCCUAACACAUGCAAGUCGAACGGUAACAGGAAACAGCUUGCUGUUUCGCUGCCGAGUGGCGGACGGGUGAGUCAUGUCUGGGAAACUGCCUGAUGGAGGGGGAUAACUACUGGAAACGGUAGCUAAUACCGCAUAACGUCGCAAGACCAAAGAGGGGGACCCUCGGGCCUCUUGCCAUCGGAUGUGCCCAGAUGGGAUUAGCUUGUUGGUGGGGUAACGGCUCACCAAGGCGACGAUCCCUAGCUGGUCUGAAAGGAUGACCAGCCACACUGGAACUGAGACACGGUCCAGACUCCUACGGGAGGCAGCAGUGGGGAAUAUUGCACAAUGGGCGCAAGCCUGAUGCAGCCAUGCCGCGUGUAUGAAGAAGGCCUUCGGGUUGUAAAGUACUUUCAGCGGGGAGGAAGGGAGUAAAGUUAAUACCUUUGCUCAUUGACGUUACCCGCAGAAGAAGCACCGGCUAACUCCGUG
This 490-nucleotide ribosomal RNA is filed under the name uncultured bacterium. RNAcentral's name for it is "partial 16S ribosomal RNA". It matches the Rfam family "Bacterial small subunit ribosomal RNA", at positions 30 to 507 of the family's 1533-position model. The record is from RNAcentral.